CAUGCAGUCGAGGGGUAUAGGUUUUCGGACCUAGAGACCGGCGCACGGGUGCGUAACGCGUAUGCAAUCUACCUUUUACAGAGGGAUAGCCCAGAGAAAUUUGGAUUAAUACCUCAUAGUAUUAUUGAAUGGCAUCAUUUAAUAAUUAAAGUCACAACGGUAAAAGAUGAGCAUGCGUCCCAUUAGCUUGUUGGUAAGGUAACGGCUUACCAAGGCAACGAUGGGUAGGGGUCCUGAGAGGGAGAUCCCCCACACUGGUACUGAGACACGGACCAGACUCCUACGGGAGGCAGCAGUGAGGAAUAUUGGUCAAUGGGCGCAAGCCUGAACCAGCCAUGCCGCGUGCAGGAUGACGGUCCUAUGGAUUGUAAACUGCUUUUGUACAGGAAGAAACAGUUCUACGUGUAGAACCUUGACGGUACUGUAAGAAUAAGGAUCGGCUAACUCCGUGCCAGCAGCCGCGGUAAUACGGAGGAUCCAAGCGUUAUCCGGAAUCAUUGGGUUUAAAGGGUCCGUAGGCGGUUUUGUAAGUCAGUGGUGAAAGCCCAUCGCUCAACGGUGGAACGGCCAUUGAUACUGCAAGACUUGAAUUAUUGGGAAGUAACUAGAAUAUGUAGUGUAGCGGUGAAAUGCUUAGAGAUUACAUGGAAUACCAAUUGCGAAGGCAGGUUACUACCAAUAUAUUGACGCUGAUGGACGAAAGCGUGGGGAGCGAACAGGAUUAGAUACCCUGGUAGUCCACGCCGUANACGAUGGAUACUAGCUGUUCGGAGCAAUCUGAGUGGCUAAGCGAAAGUGAUAAGUAUCCCACCUGGGGAGUACGUUCGCAAGAAUGAAACUCAAAGGAAUUGACGGGGGCCCGCACAAGCGGUGGAGCAUGUGGUUUAAUUCGAUG
Molecule: ribosomal RNA, 895 nt
Filed under: uncultured bacterium
Lineage: Bacteria
Description: bacterial SSU rRNA
Rfam family: Bacterial small subunit ribosomal RNA
Source: RNAcentral